This is a long non-coding RNA of Capsicum annuum, 1295 nucleotides long. RefSeq lists it as uncharacterized. Lineage: Eukaryota; Viridiplantae; Streptophyta; Magnoliopsida; Solanales; Solanaceae. The record is from RefSeq and is a predicted model, not a curated record. The transcript is spliced from 3 exons.
AGAGACAAAAUUAAAAUUUGAAAAAUGAAAAUUUAGUGGUAAUGUAGAAUAAUCACAAAUUUUUGAGGUGAAGAAUUAUUUGAGUGAAUCUUGUAAUUUUAAAAAUAUAAAAUAAUAAAAUAAUAAAAUAUAAGACGGUGAAAGGAAUGAUACGAAGAGAAAUAUGGCACCCCACCAAUUUGAUGAAGAAAUUGAUGGAUUCCAUGGUUUGAUACCAUACCAUAUCACCUGUUUUUAGAAAACUAUGGAAACAUGGAACCAUGGUAACCAUGCCAUAUCAAGGAAACCACCAUCCAAACAAGCUGUAAGAUGCUGUCACUGCUAUAUUCACCAAAAACUUUUCUUGUUCGAAGCUGCUCCGACCAAAAAUUCGAAGCUGCUCCGACGUGUAGGAAUUACUUGUUCUUCUUCCAUUCGAAGCUGCUCCAUCGUGUAAUUAUUCUCAUUCUUGGUACUGCUCCGACGUAUAUUGCUGGUCUUAAUUCUUUUCUCUGAGUUACUAGCCAAUCCUUUCCCAACUCCGAACACUUCAAGAAGCAACCACCGUACCUCGAUAGCUCGAAGAUGCUUCGAUUCAGCUUCUCCACUGCUCCGACAACCACUUCAAUUUUCGAGAAAAUUUGGGGUUUUCUUCUAUAAUUUGGUGAUUUGAAGGUUUAUCAUUGGCUUACCAGCUACUGUUUUUGCUGGAUGCUACUGGAUUUCACUCUCUAGAAUUCCUUGCUCUGGGUAUUCAUGUUUGUCGGGCUGUAGGAACUGGUACGGUGAAGCCUGGUGCACCAAGUUGUCGCUAUGCGUAGGAUCAAAGGAGGGUUCCGAUCACAAAAGUCUAUUGUUCGCAGCAACACCUUACAUUUUUGCAAGGGAAGGCCUUAAAUUAAUUAGAAUGACUUAUAUACAACCUUGAGUUGUAGUCAUUACCAUAUCAUUCUCCGUUGAACUUUUGAUGCAUGUUUUAAAGGACUUUUUCUUCAUGGUACAUCUACUUUAUAAGUACUAAAUCUAAAGAUAUAAAAAAACUUAAUUGUGGUUAAAUUGCAAGUGAAGAACAAAUGAACAUAAUAGACCCAUCGACUUAUAUUCUGAAAUUUAUUUUAAUUUGAUUUCCUUGCUUUUAAGAACUGGAUGAAGAUAAACAACAUUAGCACAUGAAAGUUAGAAAAGAAAAGGUCUCUUGUUAUAUGCUGCUAUAUAUAUCUAAGACAUAGGAAUGACCAUAACUCGGUAUAUUUCAAAAUAUUCAUAGUACAAAACACAUUGUAAUAAUAUGAUUCCUACAGAGAUCUUUAUCUUGG